UACGAAGGGGGCUAGCGUUGUUCGGAUUUACUGGGCGUAAAGCGCACGUAGGCGGAUCGAUCAGUCAGGGGUGAAAUCCCAGGGCUCAACCCUGGAACUGCCUUUGAUACUGUCGAUCUGGAGUAUGGAAGAGGUGAGUGGAAUUCCGAGUGUAGAGGUGAAAUUCGUAGAUAUUCGCAAGAACACCAGUGGCGAAGGCGGCUCACUGGCCCGGUACUGACGCUGAGGCGCGAAAGCCAGGGGAGCAAAGCGGGG
RNAcentral lists this ribosomal RNA (255 nucleotides) under uncultured bacterium. RNAcentral describes it as "partial 16S ribosomal RNA". It matches the Rfam family "Bacterial small subunit ribosomal RNA", at positions 524 to 778 of the family's 1533-position model. The record is from RNAcentral.